This 229-nucleotide ribosomal RNA is filed under the name uncultured bacterium. Its description in RNAcentral is "partial 16S ribosomal RNA". It matches the Rfam family "Bacterial small subunit ribosomal RNA", at positions 568 to 796 of the family's 1533-position model. The record is from RNAcentral.
UGCGUAGGCGGGCUAAUAAGUCAGUGGUGAAAUCUUUCGGCUCAACCGAGAAACUGCCAUUGAUACUGUUAGUCUUGAGUUCGGUUGAGGUAGGCGGAAUGUGUAAUGUAGCGGUGAAAUGCUUAGAUAUUACACAGAACACCAAUUGCGUAGGCAGCUUACUAGACCGACACUGACGCUGAGGCACGAAAGCGUUGGGAGCGAACAGGAUUAGAUACCCUGGUAGUCC